This 29-nucleotide small RNA is filed under the name Bombyx mori (domestic silkworm). Its description in RNAcentral is "ovarian small RNA-23858". Lineage: Eukaryota; Metazoa; Arthropoda; Insecta; Lepidoptera; Bombycidae. The record is from RNAcentral.
UAUGAAUGGAGUCUGUACCGAAACAAGAC